Long non-coding RNA from Phyllostomus hastatus (greater spear-nosed bat), 314 nucleotides. RefSeq lists it as uncharacterized. NCBI's taxonomy places the organism in Eukaryota, Metazoa, Chordata, Mammalia, Chiroptera, Phyllostomidae. The record is from RefSeq and is a predicted model, not a curated record. The transcript has 3 exons.
GGCCCUCUUCAGGUUCUCCCACUCAGUUUCUCCUUCCUGGUUACAAGGCCAGCAGAGGUGAUUGACGUACUAAAGCAGGUCACCAUUCCUUUGUUUGUUUGGGGGACGUCAGCCAAUGACAGAAUGAUUAUCAACAUCUGCAUUUGGGAUCGAAUGUGUUUUGAAUCCAGUUUCCCAGGAACAGACCUGAGACUCCGAGAUCUGCACGCAAGAGGUACUUGGAGCAUGCCCUCAGGAGCUCACACUCUGUCAGCAAAUUUCCAGGAAUAUGACCAAAGAUUUAAAACCACCCGUCUGCUGCAACUACAAGCCGG